GUGUGCAUUUUUCGUUGGGGAUUACCUAGAAUAAAACGUCGUGUCUUCCUUUGAUUCCUUAUGCGGGAUAUCCGAUCAAUUAGAAUUCAGGUUAAAGAGGGUCUUUAUCCUCGUCGUAUUCUUUAUAUGGAAAUCUGGGGUCAGGGUAUCAUUCUCUUGACUCGUACUAACGAUAAAAUUUUUACUCCACGAGAAAUUGAACAAAAAGCUGCUGAAUUGGCCUAUUUCUUGCGCGUAACAAGAAAAAAAAAGAAUAUGAAACGGACCAAACAAACCAAAGUAAACAAAAAAAAUGUAGAGAAACCAGCCCCAAAAAAUUGGAGGUUACCUUGGAAGGUUCCCAGAACCGGUGAAGAGUUAAUACUUUAG
RNAcentral lists this ribosomal RNA (369 nucleotides) under Triticum aestivum (bread wheat). RNAcentral describes it as "partial small subunit ribosomal RNA". The record is from RNAcentral. Lineage: Eukaryota; Viridiplantae; Streptophyta; Magnoliopsida; Poales; Poaceae.